UUACUCUUAUAAUCCUUGUGUUUAAAAUACUGAAAAUGGAUUUCUAAUUAAUAGGGCGCUUUUAAUAGGUCAGUCAUAUGGAGGCUGGUUAAAUUACUGAAUAUGCCAUUUGGGCAGCCUACAAUUCUUGGCUCAUGCUUUCUUUACAAGCGAAAAAACAUGCAACCCUGGAAGAAUUCAAACACAAACACUGAAAAACCAAACCUGAAAAGAUGUAAAUGAAGCAUCCUCCCUCUCUACAGAAUUCCUGCCCAAUUAAUUAGAAAUCCUUGUGUUUAAAAUACUGAAAAUGGAAGGAGUUAAUAGUUAUAGAGAAAUGGUACAAGAGUUUAAGCCAAUAUUUAACAGGGCCAAAGGCGUGCUGGAGGCAUCCUCGCCUCAUGCUCGCAAUGCUGCUCUGCUUCCGUUCCUUGUUCACAUUCAUCCUUCCGACUCAGGUCAUCUGCAUGUGCUUACGUCGGAUUUCCAUUUCAAUACAUGAGGCUUACAUCCAGCAGCCUGUUGAAAUGGGCAGAAAGAAACACUGGGGUUCAAUGAAAACUUAUCCACAUUCCUCCAAGUCUUGUAUAAGGCCUUUACGUCAGACAAUGUAAAGACUGAACUCGGGGGUCCUGCAAGUGCAAUCGGUGGAAAAGGCAGGUGCAACAUCUGCUAAGAUUAAAGGAAAUGCUACUUUUCUAGGAGCUUCAAGAAAUGUAUGCCUUCAUCUGGAGUAGUUCAAAGGUCGAAGUGCAAAUGAUGCAGUAGGUGCCUUGGCAUUGGAUCUUUAUGAGGCCUUUUACACAGGUACAUUGAAGGAUUGCAAUUCUACUGUCUGCAGUUCUGAGUGCGAAACAGUUCCUGAAAUUAUUGAAUCAGCUGGCAACAAGAGCAAGUAUCGUGAUAUAGAUAUGGGUAUACCAGCAAAAAUAGAAGAAGGUGGA
This is a long non-coding RNA of Cryptomeria japonica (Japanese cedar), 923 nucleotides long. RefSeq lists it as uncharacterized. The transcript has 4 exons. The record is from RefSeq and is a predicted model, not a curated record. Lineage: Eukaryota; Viridiplantae; Streptophyta; Pinopsida; Cupressales; Cupressaceae.